RNAcentral lists this small RNA (657 nucleotides) under Pongo abelii (Sumatran orangutan). Its description in RNAcentral is "retained intron". Lineage: Eukaryota; Metazoa; Chordata; Mammalia; Primates; Hominidae. The record is from RNAcentral.
CAGUUUCACCUGGUACUUUUAGUCUUGCACUACUGCACAAAACAAAGACUGCCUGUACUUACUUUGGGGUUUUUUCUUUGGUUGUUGGGGAGUUUUUGGUUUGUUUUUGUUUUUAGCUUUCUGUAGUUUUCUGCUAAUUAACACAAUAGAGCAUCUCUCUUUUGUUUUCUGUGUUUGAUGCUGUAACCAGCUUCCUUUUAUUUUGAUAAUAGGAUGAAGGUUAUUAAUUCCUAGCUCUCUAAGAAAAAUAAUAUGCUAAGAAAAAUAAUAUUCCUUUUAUAUAUAGCUGACAACAGCUGUUUGAGACCUAUUGAUAGACAUGGGAAGCUUCUUUGUCCAGUGCCGGACAGCUAUACUUUGAAGGAAGCAGAAUUGAAGAUGGGAAGUUCAUUGGGACUGUGUCUUGGAAAAGCACCAAGUUCGUCUCAGUUGUUCCUGUUUUUUGCAAUGGGGAGUGACGUUCAACCUGGGACAGAAAUGGAAAUCAUAGUAGAAGAAACAAUAUCUGUGAGAGAUUGUUUAAAGUUAAUGCUGAAGAAAUCUGGCCUACAAGGAGAUGCCUGGCAUUUACGAAAAAUGGAUUGGUGCUAUGAAGCUGGGGAGCCUUUAUGUGAAGAAGAUGCAACACUGAAAGAACUUCUGAUAUGUUCUGGAGAU